GACGGACCAGGGAGGGGUCCGCGCCAAGACCCGCCUCCGAACCAGGCCCCACCUCCUGAGCCAGGGCCCCGCCCCCGAUUCUGACUCCGCCCUCUCUGUCCUUCGGUGGAGACUCCGGGAAAAACCUGCCUCCCGGUCUGCCCUCUCUCCGUCUGUCUGUGCUUGUUUUUCUACGUUUAUCCCUGUCGCUUUCCCCACUUAUUCUGCAGGCAUGGCGCGCCCCCAGUGCCGGCUCGGUGCCAGGGCUGGGAGAUCCGGGGGUGAAUCGUGAGCCCGGCCCACAGCGAGCUUGCAGUCUAGAGAUCAAGGCAGUCUUGUCCACAACCUGCUGUCACACCAAGCAAAUGUAGCUGGUGUAGCACCAGGGGCUGCAAUCAAGUGCGGUGGGGCGGCAAUAGUGACCACGGAAAUAAUCAGAAUUGCUUCUAAUUCAGCUCCUACUAUAUUCCCGUCAUCCCUGAGCCUCACAAUCAUCCUCCAAGAGAGACAGUAUAAGAAUCCAAGUCAACCUGAGUCCAAAACCAGUGGCCCUUACACUGUGUGGCUUUAUGGAGGAGAUGGAGUUUAAGUUUACCUUCAAGGAUGAGCAACACUUUUCUUCAAGCAGAAAAAGAAGGGAAUGGGUGAACACGGUCCCAGGAUAUUCGCUUUGGCAGAUGAUUAGAAUACGUGCUGACUUGAUAGCCGCAACUGUCCUGAUACGAAAGUACGCCGGCCUGGCUGGGCGUGGUGGCUCACGCCUGUAAUCCGAGGAUUUUGGGAGGCCGAGGCGGGCGGAUCACUUGAUGUCAGGAGUUUGAGACCAGCAUGUCCAACAUGGUGAAACCCCGUCUGUACUAAAAAUACAAUAAUUAGCCGAGCAUGAUGGCAUGUGCCUGUAAUCCCAGCUAUUUGGGAGGCUGAGGCAAGAGAAUCGCUUGAACCUGGAAGGCAGAGGUUGCAGUUACUUUCCCGACAUUGCACCACUGCACUCCAGCCUUGGCGACAAGAGCGAAAUUUUGUCUCAAAAAAGAAAGAAAGAAAGCACUCAGGCCUGUCCGAGGACCACAGCAGUGGACAUGGAGGGAGGAGGCUGGGGGUAGUUGAAUUGGUAUGAUAUGUCACUGAGUAAACGAAGGAAGGGACAGAAAGAGAACUGCAAAGUGUCAAAAGCCUGGACAACAGAGAGAAAGCAUCCUUGUUAUAUCAUUUAAAGCACCUGUUGGGCCAAAUAGGGAGCACCUUUCAGAAUCCAUGUGCACAAGAUCUCAGCAAUUCUACGUCCAAGAAUGUAACCUACAUCCAAGAAUGUACUGGAAUUUAAUUCCACAUCCAAGAAUCCCCAUAGGUAGCAAAGAUGUAUAUUUAAGGGUAUUCUCUCAGCUUUGUUUUUAUGUUAGGAGAUUGGGAACAACCUAAAUGCCCAUCAGCUGGUGACUGGCUAGGUUAACUAUUCACAAAUGGAAUACUAGGUAGUCUCCUAAAAGAGGAAAGCAAUUCUACAUAUCCUGAUACAGUGUAGUCACCAGAUAGAUGGCUAAGAUACAAAUAAAACAAACAAGUUGCAGUGUUAGAGUAUGCUAUGUAUCACUCCUUUUUAAGGACAAAAAGAGGAUAUACUUUAACUUUUUAAGAUACCAAAGUAUUUAUUUAUUUAAAAUUUUUUUUCACAGAAUUGUUAUAGCAUGUAGAACCAAAAAUUAUUUACAAAUGAAAUUAUUCAAUGUCUGAGAUUUGUGUCAAAAUAAUGGUAUGGGGGUUUAGUGAGUAAGCAUGUAGGUAGAACAAGAUUGUCCAUGAGCUUAUAGUUGUUGAAGCUGGAUGAUCACCUGGGUGUUUUAUACUAUUUGGGUGUUAAACUAUUUUUUUUU
Pan troglodytes (chimpanzee) is the source of this 1850-nucleotide long non-coding RNA. RefSeq lists it as uncharacterized. NCBI's taxonomy places the organism in Eukaryota, Metazoa, Chordata, Mammalia, Primates, Hominidae. The record is from RefSeq and is a predicted model, not a curated record. The transcript is spliced from 3 exons.